This 308-nucleotide long non-coding RNA is filed under the name Mytilus galloprovincialis (Mediterranean mussel). The record is from RNAcentral. Lineage: Eukaryota; Metazoa; Mollusca; Bivalvia; Mytilida; Mytilidae.
UUCACAUUUUUUUCUAUCUUUCAUUUUUUGUACUUUUUUUAAUAUAGUUUUAGUCCUUUAUUCUUUAUGUUUGGUCAUCAUUCUUUCACGUAUCAAUCCCAUCCGUAGCCUUAACGUAGGAACAAAGAAAGAAAAAACAAACGCUGAUAAUCACUUCAGAAAAUGCACUUUGCUAAAUAUGAUACAAAACACACCACAUGUACAGUUAAAACAAUAACAAAAAGCAACAAAAAAGCAACAAAAAGCAUGCACUCAUUGAUGAAAGCAAUCUCAUUCAUUUUUAUUGAAAGUUGUCUCGUUGGCAUCCA